GAGCAAAAGCGUGUUAUUUGAUAACGUAAUUUUUGCAUUGAAGGUUGGCGAUAGUAAAACGAUUGCAGUUCUCCGUGCCUUGCAGAGUUUUGAUUCUGCAAACGGCCUCGAACAAUCUGCAACAUU
RNAcentral lists this small nucleolar RNA (126 nucleotides) under Zostera marina. Lineage: Eukaryota; Viridiplantae; Streptophyta; Magnoliopsida; Alismatales; Zosteraceae. The record is from RNAcentral.